Molecule: long non-coding RNA, 944 nt
Organism: Mesocricetus auratus (golden hamster)
Lineage: Eukaryota; Metazoa; Chordata; Mammalia; Rodentia; Cricetidae
Exons: 2
Source: RefSeq, a predicted model, not a curated record
CUCUCCCUCUCCCUCUCCCUCUCUGUCUGUCUGUCUGUCUGUCUGUCUCUCUCUCUCUCUCUCUCUCUCUCACACACACACACACACACACUCACACACACCACAGUGGUGUGUAGAAAGGCUUCCUUGAUCCUUGCCAUGCAGGUAGAAGGCAGGUCCACAGGGCCUCCUUGCUUCUCUUAGACCUGGGAAAGGAGAAUGCCACGAGCCAGAAAACCUCAGACAGAUGCUACCUCCAAACCAAGGGGCCCCCGAAAACCAACUUCUCAGCUGCCUGGGGAGCGGAGAUUACCGCGUCAAGAGCCCACAGACGUGGUGUCUAAGAUGAGCUCUUCAGUCUGUCAGCUGUGGUCUGGCCUCUGGACCUGGAUUCCUACCCCCGAAGCGUACAGGCGCCUCCCGCACUGUAUUGUUAUGGGGACCGACCGGAUAGCAGAUUAGAGGGGCUGAUCGGGACAUCUGCGGGUCGGCGCUUCAUUUCGUAUGCGCUGAUGAAAAUCUGUCCCGCUCACUUUUUUUUUUUUUUAUUUUUAAGCUGGAACGGUGUUUUGAGAAGAACGUGCGUCGUGCGUGAGGGAGGGAGAGGCAUCAAACCGUGUAGCCGUCUGAUAGGUCAGAGGGAGCAAGCCGACCCAGGCAGGCAUUCCAGCUGGCACUAGGCUCUCACGGUCAGCAGCCCACUUCGAAGCUUCCAUCUUUGCCUGACAAGGGAGGAAACGAAGCCCGCCUUGUGAAUACUCUGGGGGCAAAACAUGAUGAUGUUAAGUACCUUUCUCCUCUCUUUCCCUCUGGAUCCAGGGACGGAGACUCAGCUCUCAUUCCUGGUUGGCUCUACCAGCCACACCCCCAUCCCACUGGGGAAUUCUAGGAAGCGCUCUACCAUUGGACGGCCAGUCCUUUCUAACCAUAUUCGCGCACAUACAAUUUGUUUUGACUAUCUUAAA